UUGGGACAAUCUAACACCUAGACAUGUGCUUGGGUGGUCUUUUGACCAAAAUUUCAAAUUGGAGGUCGUGGGUUCAAUUGUUUGGAGUACCAUAUUUUUUGGAAUUAAUUAAAGAAAAGUACAUGUCAGCGCUGCCACGUGUGCCACGUAGGCAGGUCAACGCACAUGUAGCACCUAGGGGCUCGAUAUCCAAAUUUUUGAAGAGAAAUUUGAAGGUCAACGCACAUGUAGCACCUAUGUAGCAGCUAUAUAUCCCCAUCAUUUCUCCCCGGCUAGGAAAAAUUCAGCUCUGUCAAAAUGAAAUUUUCGUAACGCUCCAACAAUGUAGGAUCAAUGCGAUGAAACUCCUCCCUACCAAUCCACAUGCAAUCAAAGUCAGGCUUGCCACACCACUGAACAAAAAAUUGGCAAUAUAUUCCGCACCUAGUAGACACAAACCUCUAAUCCAAUACAUCCUCGAUACCAUUUGAUGUAGACUGUGAAGAAACAAGAAAAGGUGCUGACGAAACAGGUAAAGGAGGAACUAAUGGGUUAGUAGAUGAAAAAGGAGAUGGGGUCGACGGACUAGAAGGUACAUGAUAUGGAGUAAGAUCAGCCACAUUAAAUACAGGACCAAUACCCAUAUUACUAGGAAGAUCUAACUCAUACGCAUUAACACUAACCUUCUUUUUCACACGAAAUUGUCCCAUCCGCUUAGCAUGCACCUUUUUCCAUGUGCAUGGAGGCAAUCUCUCAACAUGGUGUCGAAGCAUACCUGGUCAUUCUCAUUGAACUAUUGGUACCUGCGAUGACCAUCUGCAGCAGACUAAAAAUUUUCAUUGCUCAAAUUAAUUUUAUGUCAUGUCUCAACAUGCAAGUCAUGAAUGUGUCAUGCAAAAAUUUAAACACACUCACUAGCUUUAUAUGUAGAGGGAAGAAGGACCAAGUCGAAAGGUUUUCUAGGGUGGUAACUAGUAUAAAUCAGAAAAGGACUCGCCCCAGUAGAGCGAUUAACCAAACUAUUAUAGGCAAACUCAGGCAUAGGUAAAACUCUAUCCAAAUAGACACGUGAUCUCCUAUAAGGCAUCUCACCAAAUCACCUAGACUCCUAUUAACUACCUCGAAUUGACCAACAGUCUGCUAGUGAUAGGAAGUGAAAAACUUAAGUGUGGUAUUUAGCUUUUUCGAUAGGGUUUUCUAAAAAUAACUCAUGAAUUUGACAUCCCUAUCAAAAACUAUAGACAAAGGCAAACCACGUAGCCUCACAACCUCGCUAAAGAAAAUUGAUGCAAUGUGUGAGCAUCAUCGGUUUUGCUGCAUGGAAUAAAAUACGUCAUCUUAGAAAAAUGGUCCAAUACAACAAAAACGAAAUCAUGACCCCUCAGGGUUCGCGAUAACCCAAGACCAAAUCCAUGCUAAUAUCCUCCCAAGGAGCAUGGAGUACCGGCAAAGGCAUAUACAACCCUAUGUUUUGCGUCCUACCCUUAGCAGUUUGACAUGUACGACACUCAGAAACAACACGAGGUACAUCCUUCUCGAGGCUAGGCCAAAAAAACCUAUCCUCCACAAUUGCAAUGGUCUUAUCGCGACCAAAAUGACAUGCGAUCCCUCCCGCAUGUAACUCUCAAACUAAAUGCUCAGGCAUAGACGUGCUAGGAAUACACAUCAUGAAUACGAAAGUGGGUGCCCUUUUUAAGAUUUCUAUUUCGAUACUUAUAUUAAUGGGUGAGAUUUUGGGAAAAACACAGACAUAAAUGCUGACGAAUUUGAAAAGCUUGAUUUUUAAUGAUGGCCUAAUUAGACAGUCGCCAGUUGGUACAAGUUUAAAUGGAUGUACCAACUCAUCCGGUUUUCGAAGUUUUCGUAAUUUGGCCCAAUAUGUAACUCCGUAAAAUUAGUCUUGAAACCGAGAUUCAUAGAGUUCGAGAGCUUGCUUAAAGCGAGAGCAAGGUGUUUGGGCCUGGAGUGAUGAAGAUAAAGAACUAAAUCAUACAAUAAAAAGGGCUAGGGUUAGGGCCUGGAGUGAUGAAGAUAAAGAACUUUAAUCCAUCAUCUAUAAGGAUAUAAACUUAAAAAGAUAAUGCAAACAGUAACUGUCCAAAAUUAUUGAAGGAGAUAAUCAAUUGUAACAAGUUUAGGUUUCAAUCAGUCAAAUUACUAUUAAUACCAUCAGCACAGCACGGGGAAAAACACAAUACUGUUUCAUCCGAUGUAAAACGUUGGUCAAACUAAAGAAAGCAGAAUGAAUUAUUGAUGCAACUUUACUUCCAUUCACAAAAAUUCUUCAUAAAAAAAAGUUAGGUUUAGUGAAGAUACUUAAUAAGUUAACAUACUUGAAGCAUAUGAAUAAGAAAGAAAGUGAAGUUAGAUAGACCUGAAGCUUGAGUAUUAAUGAUAAGAAUAAUAUGUCCUUUAACCAAGUAUCCAAUAGCAAAUACAAAGAUCACAUAUCAAAAUAUAACAUCUGAUAUUACAAUUUCAUUCAUUCAAAAUUUCCAGAGUACAUAACCUUUAUUCAACUAUAAUUGCAGAACAAUGGUAAUGGACAAAAAAAUUGAAGAACCAAAAGAGAAACAAUAUUAUAGUAACUAAUUAAAAAAACAUCAAGGUCUAAAAUCAACAACCGUACAAUUAGACAAAUAACGUUUACUAUUCUGGCAAAAAAAAUCCUAACACUACUUUAAAAUAGCAGUAAAGUCGUAUGAUGAAAUAGUAGAUUAAAUAUGUUACACAUGAUUAUAUAAUUCCUCCCUAGAAACUGAUUAAUAUUUCUCAAUUUGUCAUUAUAAUGUCAUUAUGGUCCCAUAUUCCUAAAAUUAUACUCAAUAUUCACAAAUUUUACUAAUAAAACUCUAUUUGUUGGAUGGAGGAGAUAUUACUGAGAAAUGAAAGAAAUGAAAGAACUGAAAGAAGCAUGUAAUACCUUCAGAAAAAAAAAUCAGAAGCUAUGGCAGACCAUCGGAGACGAAUCACAAGCCGGAAGAACGAAACCCCUCACACACUCGCCCUAUAGGUGCAGUGCUGGCCUUUCAAUUACCAAGGCGGCUUAGGUGGGGUUUAUUUUAAGAGAGAAAAAGAUAUGAAGGUAAAGAAGAGUUAGGAACUUCGGGUAGAAUAAGAAGGAAAAGGAUGAAGGGGAGGACAGAGGAGGCGGCGAGAGAAUGGGGGAUGAGAGAAGUAGGGUUUAAUAUGUUUUGUUAUUGUAUUGCAUUUUUUUUGUAAUUAUUUUAUGAAUAUAUUAAUUUUGUAAUUAUUUUU
Molecule: long non-coding RNA, 3237 nt
Filed under: Panax ginseng (ginseng)
Lineage: Eukaryota; Viridiplantae; Streptophyta; Magnoliopsida; Apiales; Araliaceae
Description: long non-coding RNA (PGIN_LNC008137)
Source: RNAcentral